CCAAUAGCGUAUAUUAAAGUUGUUGCAGUUAAAAAGCUCGUAGUUGAAUUUCGGGGUCAGUAGGCUGGUCGUGCCACAGGUAUGUACUGGUCUUACUGAUUCCUCCUUCCUGAUGAACCGUAAUGCCAUUAAUUUGGUGUUGCGGGGAAUCUGGACUGUUACUUUGAAAAAAUUAGAGUGUUUAAAGCAGGCUAACGCUUGAAUACAUUAGCAUGGAAUAAUGAAAUAGGACGAUCGAUCCUAUUUUGUUGGUUUCUAGGAUUGACGUAAUGAUUAAUAGGGAUAGUUGGGGGCAUUAGUAUUCAAUUGUCAGAGGUGAAAUUCUUGGAUUUAUUGAAGACUAACUACUGCGAAAGCAUUUGCCAAGGAUGUUUUCAUUAAUCAAGAACGAAAGUUAGGGGGAUCGAAGACGAUCAGAUACCGUCGUAGUCUUAACCAUAAACUAUGCCGACUAGGGAUCGGAUGAUGUUAAUUUUUUAAUGACUCAUUCGGCGCCUUACG
This 501-nucleotide ribosomal RNA is filed under the name uncultured Glomeromycotina. Its description in RNAcentral is "partial small subunit ribosomal RNA". It matches the Rfam family "Eukaryotic small subunit ribosomal RNA", at positions 591 to 1092 of the family's 1831-position model. Lineage: Eukaryota; Fungi; Glomeromycota. The record is from RNAcentral.